This 465-nucleotide ribosomal RNA is filed under the name Vreelandella stevensii. Its description in RNAcentral is "partial 16S ribosomal RNA". It matches the Rfam family "Bacterial small subunit ribosomal RNA", at positions 338 to 795 of the family's 1533-position model. Lineage: Bacteria; Pseudomonadati; Pseudomonadota; Gammaproteobacteria; Oceanospirillales; Halomonadaceae. The record is from RNAcentral.
CCUACGGGGGGCUGCAGUGGGGAAUAUUGGACAAUGGGCGAAAGCCUGAUCCAGUCAUGCCGCGUGUGUGAAGAAGGCCUUCGGGUUGUAAAGCACUUUCAGUGGGGAAGAAAGCCUUGGGGCUAAUACCUUCGAGGAAGGACAUCACCCACAGAAGAAGCACCGGCUAACUCCGUGCCAGCAGCCGCGGUAAUACGGAGGGUGCGAGCGUUAAUCGGAAUUACUGGGCGUAAAGCGCGCGUAGGCGGUCUGAUAAGCCGGUUGUGAAAGCCCCGGGCUCAACCUGGGAACGGCAUCCGGAACUGUCAGGCUAGAGUGCAGGAGAGGAAGGUAGAAUUCCCGGUGUAGCGGUGAAAUGCGUAGAGAUCGGGAGGAAUACCAGUGGCGAAGGCGGCCUUCUGGACUGACACUGACGCUGAGGUGCGAAAGCGUGGGUAGCAAACAGGAUUAGAUACCCGAGUAGUC